CACGACGAGCAGCCGUCUGAUGGGGCGUUGUUGUGAUACGUGAGGUCGAUUCAACGGCCAGCAAUCCGCCAUCAUCGGCUCGGUUCGUGGGGCGGACGGCUCACUUUCGAGACCCCGGAUUCAGCGGGGGUAACGUGUCCUCUUCCUCCAUGCACACCAUGCAGUUUUCACCUACGCUUCAUUCUUCAAUCAUUUUCAGGUAAAUUAUUCUACAACAUAUUAUUUCUAGUCUCUAAAAAAUAAAUCUACUGUAGUGGAAUCUGUCUUUUUUAUUUACUGGAUAUUCAAAGGAAAUUAAAUGUUUUAAGAGAUUGGGAAAUAAUAAUAUAGUCGACUCAAAACGAUUCGCCAUUAAUAGUAAUAGAUUAAUGAAUCUUCUAACAUAUCUAGGACAGCUGACGUGUCCUUCUAUCAUAGAUACGAACAAGUUGGGAGAACAUUUGCAGGAGGGAGAGGCAUAAGUUCUUUAGGCUCUAUUAACUGCAUGUACAACAGGAAGUGCUUAAGAAUAGAAGAUUUGGUGAUUUAUGGGUAUUCUUUACAGUAAACAUUUUCUCUGACCAGAUCGAUUAGUGUGCAUUGAAGUUGUCAAAGUCCAUAAUCACGGCAAAAGUUCAUCCUCUUGCUGAUCCACC
This 635-nucleotide long non-coding RNA is filed under the name Musa acuminata (dwarf banana). RNAcentral describes it as "long non-coding RNA (MACU_LNC000826)". Lineage: Eukaryota; Viridiplantae; Streptophyta; Magnoliopsida; Zingiberales; Musaceae. The record is from RNAcentral.